Molecule: ribosomal RNA, 468 nt
Filed under: uncultured bacterium
Lineage: Bacteria
Description: partial 16S ribosomal RNA
Rfam family: Bacterial small subunit ribosomal RNA
Source: RNAcentral
GACGAACGCUGGCGGCGUGCUUAACACAUGCAAGUCGAACGGAAAGGCCCUGCUUUUGUGUGGUGCUCGAGUGGCGAACGGGUGAGUAACACGUGAGUAACCUGCCCUUGACUGUGUGAUAACUUCAGGAAACUGGGGCUAAUACCGGAUAGGAGCUCCUGCUGCAUGGUGGUGGUUGGAAAGUUUAGGCGGUUGUGGAUGGACUCGCGGCUUAUCAGCUUGUUGGUGGGGUAGUGGCUUACCAAGGCUUUGACGGGUAGCCGGCCUGAGAGGGUGACCGCCCACAUUGGGACUGAGAGACGGCUCAGACUCGUACGGGAGGCAGCAGGGGGGAACAUGGUACAAUGGGCGGAAGCCUGAUGAAGCAACGCCGCGUGCGGGAUGACGGCCUUCGGGUUGUAAACCGCUUUCGCCUGUGACGAAGCGUGAGUGACGGUAAUGGGUAAAGAAGCACCGGCUAACUACGUG